Molecule: long non-coding RNA, 268 nt
Filed under: Phasianus colchicus (ring-necked pheasant)
Lineage: Eukaryota; Metazoa; Chordata; Aves; Galliformes; Phasianidae
Description: lncRNA (ENSPCLG00000000655.1)
Source: RNAcentral
UUCUUUCAGACUUUACAGCAACAUAUCUGCAUGUGCACUUACCUGGCAUGAAACAACUCCCAGCUCUCCUUGAUAAUGAUGAAAAAUGAAAGGGUGUCCCUAGGAAGAGCAUGAAUCUGCAGUUGGAGGAGCGACGUGGGCACCUGAGGUACCUCGCACACACAGCUGCUCUCAGGAGUGGGAUGCAAUCCCACUGUGCUGCGGAUUUAAUAAGAGAGUUACCACAUCGCUGUAAGUGACAGCUGGUUAUUAGAAGCAGACACUGAAG